GGGAGGUUCCCGGAGACCCAAAGGCACAUGCACCCUGGGAGUUUGUCCAAGACCACACCCUCCAGUGGAAACAGAGCUGCUGGGGCAGCCUCCAGAUUCCUGAGCCACUUGCUGGGAACCCAAUUUCCCUUCCCAGCUGCGGGCUCUGCUGAUUCAGGACAACCUUUACCAUGUGGUCUUUCCAGUGGGCAGAGGCCCUUUGAAAUCGUGCCUGCCCUGCUCUUAGCACCUAGAGCUUCGAGCUCAGCUAUGCCAGGAAUGCCCCCUGCGCCCGCCACCCAGGGAGUCGCAUUCCAGUGCAGUGGGAGCAGCCUGCUGGCUGGCAGCUGGGAGCCGGGCCCCUAAGGAAAGACCCUGGCCUUGAGCCAAGCACCCAGGCCCUACGGAGACUCCGUGCGACCUUGGCUCCAGCAAAUGGAACAGGAUUUUUUGGCAGUGAAGGUUAGACCUGCCCACAAUGCCCACAACCUUGGCUGAUAGGCACCCGGGUACAUUAGCCAAUUUAUUCCUCUCCGUGAGCUCUGGACCACCCCCGGGCUCCCAGGGGAGCACAGAGAAGGGGGAUGACCUGCCAAGAUCACACCCCAAGAAUAGACUUGGCAUCUGGCUCCUCCCUUGACAUCCAGGGCCUCCCAAAUCUCACCUCAGCCUCACCUUCACCGAGGGACUCAGAGGACCUAUCAAUCACCACUUAGUGAAUGUGUUUUUGGAAGCCAGACUCUUUGGAUUCGUUUUCUUGGCUCCCCUGCUUUCCAGCUGACCUUGGGCAACUUCCUCAACCCCUCAGUGUCAGAUUCCUCCUCUGCAGAGCGCGGCUCUUCUUUCUGCUGACCCAUAGAACCUUCCAGCUCACACUAAAUGCAGGGGCGGCAGCCAGCACAGGCAGCCCCACCGGCUCCCACACUGCUGAGGCCUCAGCCCCACGGUGACUCUCUCCUCCCAGACCACUCGUAAGGGCUCUGGGUCCCUGAUGGGACUCUCCCUGGGGCACGGGGAUUGGAGGUUGAUGUAGACAGUGACCAGCUCUCCUCCACCUAAACUUGACAGAUUUAGCAAAUAAAAAUACAGGCCAUUCUAUCAGACUUGAAUCCGCACCAACAAUGAACACCUUUUUUAGAGUAAGUACAUCUUAUGCAGUAUUUGGGACAUGCUUAUACUAAACACGUAUUUGUUAUUUAUCUGAAAUUUAAGUUCCACCGGGAAUAGGCAUCUGUACUGUAU
Long non-coding RNA from Pipistrellus kuhlii (Kuhl's pipistrelle), 1221 nucleotides. RefSeq lists it as uncharacterized. The transcript has 2 exons. Lineage: Eukaryota; Metazoa; Chordata; Mammalia; Chiroptera; Vespertilionidae. The record is from RefSeq and is a predicted model, not a curated record.